Molecule: long non-coding RNA, 497 nt
Organism: Dama dama (fallow deer)
Lineage: Eukaryota; Metazoa; Chordata; Mammalia; Artiodactyla; Cervidae
Exons: 3
Source: RefSeq, a predicted model, not a curated record
GGAAGGGAGCUUCAGCUUUGAUAUGACCUCGUUAUUUCCCAGCAAAGGCUUAUCUGCUUGAGUUGUUCAGAUACAAACUGCUGGAGGAACACACCGAGGAGGAUCCACCAAGGCCUGGAGCAAAAAGUGGCAGGAGUGGAAACAAAAACAACCCAUUAAAAUCUCUAUAGGACCAAGCCAUCAUUCCCAUUUGGAAUUCUAUAUGCGGUCCCAUCAGAAUUGAGUUCAAGAGGUUAUGUUGGAAUCUUGUCACUUCAAACAGCAAGCCUUCUGAGAUCAGGUAUGGGCUUUGCCUCAGGACCAGUAAAGUCAAGGUUAAUGUGACGGAAAGAUUCUCAACCUUGAAGGAGGAUGCUCUUGAGUCCUGCUCAGGACUGGUCCACAGAGAAUAGUGAAGGAGUCACUGGCUCUCCUCCCUGCAUCCCUCCAAAGUGCAUACAUAGCCAGAAGCCCCAUACGCAGCCUGGACAAGUAGCAGAGGAGAAAGCAAUGAACUA